ACCAUAUUCUUGUUUAAAUGCACAAGGAAUAAUUUGUUUCAUCAUGUCCUAGUUUAUCCAUGCCAGAUUUGUUGCUUCCGGAAUUCUUGGUCCUUCAUAUCUAAAGUUUACAUGUACUAUAGAAGCUCUACUUUAUGCUAAUACCUGCUUGUGUAACAUUUUGCAUGGUAUACUUCUAAAUGGACAAGUACAUGCGGCGUCCAUCAUCAACGAUAAUGCGGACUGACGUUCAACUGCAGAACCAUCAAUCAUAUCAACACAAAGUCAGGUAUGUUCUUGUCUUGUUGAACAGAUAAGGGCAUGAUGCUUCAUGGCCUUCUGCUUGAUGCAUGUAUCAUUUGACACACACAUUAGUAAAUCUGAAUUAAUUUUGACAUAAAUGCUUAUUGAUUGAAUAUGAGUAUUGUUCCUUAUACUCAAAUGGAACUUUGAUCUCCUGUAACUUUGAAUGAUUGUUUUUAAACCUUGUCGUGUAUGUGAAACAUUCAAUGCUUAUUUCUUGCUAAGUUUGUCAUAUGUGCCAAUUCAAUUCCCAGUUUUGACGAAUAUGCCUAUUUCAGAUAAGUAGAAUGAUCUUGGUAAAAUAAUAAUAAGUAGAAUGAUAAAAUACUGGUGUGUCUUUAUUUUUUAUUUUAAAAGUAUUCGCGUAAUAUUUCUUCUAUCUGUGACAUACUUCUUGUUCUCUUUUGAAUGUCCAGAUGUUUUGCAAAAGGAAGAAGCAGUACUUGAAGAAGCAGAUUACAAUGUUUUCUCGUUGUGAAGCACUAGAUAGGCUUGUUCUAUUUAUUUUUCCUGUUCUGGAGUAUUCCAACACCUGAAUGCUUGACUAAAACAUGUCGUAGGUUGCUUGGAUCUGUAUAAUAUACAUAUGUGAUGGAAAUUUGUAGAAUGUGUGUUCUGAGAUAUUUCUGUAAUAUUCAGCUAAUUCAUGGUAACUUGAUUCAUAUUGUUAUUCAAAC
RNAcentral lists this long non-coding RNA (959 nucleotides) under Triticum aestivum (bread wheat). RNAcentral's name for it is "long non-coding RNA (TAES_LNC015983)". Lineage: Eukaryota; Viridiplantae; Streptophyta; Magnoliopsida; Poales; Poaceae. The record is from RNAcentral.